CCUACGGGAGGCAGCAGUGAGGAAGAUUGGUCAAUGGACGAGAGUCUGAACCAGCCAAGUAGCGUGAAGGAUGACUGCCCUAUGGGGUGUAAACUUCGUGUAUAAAGGAAUAAAACGAGGCACGUGUGCCUUUUUGCAUGUACUUUAUGAAUAAGGAUAGGCUAACUCCGUGCCAGCAGCCGCGGUAAUACGGAGGAUCCGAGCGUUAUCCGGAUUUAUUGGGUUGAAAGGGAGCGUAGAUGGGUUGUUAAGUCAGUUGUGAAAGUUUGCGGCUCAACCGUAAAAUUGCAAUUGAUACUGGCAGUCUUUAGUACAGUUGAGGUCGGCGGACUUCGUUUUGUAGCGG
This 346-nucleotide ribosomal RNA is filed under the name uncultured bacterium. Its description in RNAcentral is "partial 16S ribosomal RNA". It matches the Rfam family "Bacterial small subunit ribosomal RNA", at positions 338 to 681 of the family's 1533-position model. The record is from RNAcentral.